Molecule: ribosomal RNA, 492 nt
Filed under: uncultured bacterium
Lineage: Bacteria
Description: partial 16S ribosomal RNA
Rfam family: Bacterial small subunit ribosomal RNA
Source: RNAcentral
AGUGAACGCUGGCGGUAGGCCUAACACAUGCAAGUCGAACGGCAGCACAGUAAGAGCUUGCUCUUACGGUUGGCGAGUGGCGGACGGGUGAGGAAUACAUCGGAAUCUACUUUUUCGUGGGGGAUAACGUAGGGAAACUUACGCUAAUACCGCAUACGAUCUACGGGAGAAAUCAGGGGAUCUUCGGACCUUUCGCGAUUGAAUGAGCCGAUGUCGGAUUAGCUAGUUGGCGGGGUAAAGGCCCACCAAGGCGACGAUCCGUAGCUGGUCUGAGAGGAUGAUCAGCCACACUGGAACUGAGACACGGUCCAGACUCCUACGGGAGGCAGCAGUAGGGAAUAUUGGACAAUGGGCGAAAGCCUGAUCCAGCAAUGCCGCGUGGGUGAAGAAGGUCUUCGGAUUGUAAAGCCCUGUUGUUAGGGAAGAAAAGCAGUAGGUUAAUCCGCCGAUGUUCUGACGGUACCUAAAGAAUAAGCCACGGCUAACUUCGUG